CCUACGGGAGGCAGCAGUGGGGAAUCUUGCGCAAUGGGCGAAAGCCUGACGCAGCCAUGCCGCGUGAAUGAUGAAGGUCUUAGGAUUGUAAAAUUCUUUCACCGGGGACGAUAAUGACGGUACCCGGAGAAGAAGCCCCGGCUAACUUCGUGCCAGCAGCCGCGGUAAUACGAAGGGGGCUAGCGUUGCUCGGAAUUACUGGGCGUAAAGGGCGCGUAGGCGGACAGUUUAGUCAGAGGUGAAAGCCCAGGGCUCAACCUUGGAAUUGCCUUUGAUACUGGCUGUCUUGAGUACGGGAGAGGUGUGUGGAACUCCGAGUGUAGAGGUGAAAUUCGUAGAUAUUCGGAAGAACACCAGUGGCGAAGGCGACACACUGGCCCGUUACUGACGCUGAGGCGCGAAAGCGUGGGGAGCAAACAGGAUUAGAUACCCUGGUAGUCCACGCCGUAAACGAUGAGUGCUAGUUGUCGGCAGGCAUGCCUGUCGGUGACGCAGCUAACGCAUUAAGCACUCCGCCUGGGGAGUACGGUCGCAAGAUUAAAACUCAAAGGAAUUGACGG
This 560-nucleotide ribosomal RNA is filed under the name uncultured bacterium. RNAcentral describes it as "bacterial SSU rRNA". It matches the Rfam family "Bacterial small subunit ribosomal RNA", at positions 338 to 916 of the family's 1533-position model. The record is from RNAcentral.